UACGGGGGGAGCAAGCGUUGUUCGGAUUUACUGGGCGUAAAGGGCGCGUAGGCGGCCACCGCAAGUCGACUGUGAAAUCUCCGGGCUUAACCCGGAAAGGUCAGCCGAUACUGCGGGGCUAGAGUGCAGAAGGGGCAACUGGAAUUCUCGGUGUAGCGGUGAAAUGCGUAGAUAUCGAGAGGAACACCUGCGGCGAAGGCGGCCAUCUGGACGACAACUGACGCUGAGGCGCGAAAGCGUGGGGAUCAAACAGG
This 254-nucleotide ribosomal RNA is filed under the name uncultured bacterium. RNAcentral describes it as "partial 16S ribosomal RNA". It matches the Rfam family "Bacterial small subunit ribosomal RNA", at positions 524 to 776 of the family's 1533-position model. The record is from RNAcentral.